Molecule: non-coding RNA, 91 nt
Filed under: Sphingomonas melonis
Lineage: Bacteria; Pseudomonadati; Pseudomonadota; Alphaproteobacteria; Sphingomonadales; Sphingomonadaceae
Description: Glycine sequence
Rfam family: Glycine riboswitch aptamer
About the family: This family represents the bacterial glycine riboswitch.
Source: RNAcentral
UUCGUCGACAUGGGAGAGACCGGGGCCACGCCCCGGCGCCGAAGGAGCAACCGCCCCGGAAACUCUCAGGCAGAAGGACCAUGGCGGCAAA